This is a non-coding RNA of Vicia faba (fava bean), 192 nucleotides long. NCBI's taxonomy places the organism in Eukaryota, Viridiplantae, Streptophyta, Magnoliopsida, Fabales, Fabaceae. The record is from the annotation of a GenBank genome assembly.
AUGGAAAUCCAUUCUCAUGAUGGGUUCUGGUGUACACAAUUUCUGUUAAAUUAUUGGCAUGACUUGACUGCAUUAACGUGCGUUCAACAAACUGAUGUUACUUCCAUAAAUCUAUUUGUUGUGCCUGAAACAUUGAAAAUGCAAGGUUUUAGAAUUGACAUGAAACAUCAAAUAAUAAAAUGUGAAAAUUAA